AUAAAGUAGUAGUACCAAAUGAUGGUGGUGCUUUUAAUUUGGUAACUACGUUGUUGGUAGAUUGUAAACAAGUCUAGGGAUAACCCCUGGAUUCUUGGUAACUGGUUGCCGCCAGCCCUCAAUUUUCAAAAUCCAAAGACAUUAUGCAAGUGUUCAAUGUGGUGGGUGGGGCACUGCGGCUAAGCUCUUGAAGACUGGAGCAACUACGAGCCAACUUUUGAUUUUUGAAUGAGUUGCGUUAGUGGUGGAUAGAGGGCUUAGUCAUUAGUUGUAUGAUGUAACAACUGUGAAGAAUCAAGUCCUGAAUGAUGUUAUGUACAACUCUUUAAACACUAUAACAGAGGUGUCUAAUGCACCAAAAGAUUAAUUAAAACUACUAUCGUGGUGCAACAACUGUAACAGUAAAUUCAAUAUUGGCUUGGCCGACAAAUAAAAAUAAUCCGCUUCUUUCAGUGAAAAAACCAGGUUGUUUGGGAUGAAUUAGUGCCAUUUAAAAUCACAGAUGACAUACCUGGUCUAUUAUCUUCCGGAUAUUGUUGAACACAUAAUAAUCCAAUUUGUUUGACUCAGAAACACUUCAUUCUGGUUACUUGAUUCCAAGAUCCCUCCAUCGAUUACUUCCAAAAGCUUGCCUUCAUUAAAACUUUUCCAUGCCUAAAAGAGUUGAUUUAAUAGUUCAUCAGAAGUAAUUAAAGC
RNAcentral lists this long non-coding RNA (696 nucleotides) under Panax ginseng (ginseng). RNAcentral's name for it is "long non-coding RNA (PGIN_LNC010041)". The record is from RNAcentral. Lineage: Eukaryota; Viridiplantae; Streptophyta; Magnoliopsida; Apiales; Araliaceae.